This 253-nucleotide ribosomal RNA is filed under the name uncultured bacterium. RNAcentral's name for it is "partial 16S ribosomal RNA". It matches the Rfam family "Bacterial small subunit ribosomal RNA", at positions 524 to 776 of the family's 1533-position model. The record is from RNAcentral.
UACGUAGGGUGCAAGCAUUAAUCGGAAUUAUUGGGCGUAAAGGGCGCGUAGGCGGAGAUGUAAGUCAGAUGUGAAAUCCCGGGGCUCAACCCCGGAACUGCAUUUGAAACUGCAUUUCUAGAGGAUAGGCGGAGAAAACGGAAUUCCACAAGUAGCGGUGAAAUGCGUAGAUAUGUGGAAGAACACCUGUGGCGAAAGCGGUUUUCUAGCUUAUUCCUGACGCUGAGGCGCGAAAGCAAGGGGAUCAAACAGG